Small nuclear RNA from Echinops telfairi (small Madagascar hedgehog), 107 nucleotides. The record is from Ensembl. Lineage: Eukaryota; Metazoa; Chordata; Mammalia; Afrosoricida; Tenrecidae.
GUGCUCGUGUCAGCAGCACAUACACUAAAAUUGGAAUGACACAGAGAAGAUUAGCAUGGCCCCUGUGCCAGGAUGACAUGCAAAUUCAUGAAGCGCUUCAUAUAUAA